Long non-coding RNA from Trachymyrmex cornetzi, 360 nucleotides. RefSeq lists it as uncharacterized. NCBI's taxonomy places the organism in Eukaryota, Metazoa, Arthropoda, Insecta, Hymenoptera, Formicidae. The record is from RefSeq and is a predicted model, not a curated record. The transcript is spliced from 3 exons.
CUCCGUUGUGCGCGGUCUAUCCCGGCGGGUUUCCGCGGAUUCUUGGAAAGAGAAAAGUGCAUCAGCGGAAGCGAAAAUGCCUUGCAGACCGUUAACCUCGGAGUCUUGUAUAGAAUUUAUGGCGAUCAGUCUAGCCACGACCCCUUCAGUUAGUUUGGACGUUAGAAGACAUUCGAAAACGACAAAAUGUAUUCAAAAGCAAUGAAUGGACAGUCUAAAUGCGCAUCAAUUGUAUUAUAUGAAGAAGCGGAAGACUUAGUAUAUGGGCCUGACAUGACAGAUUAGCAUCUAAUUGCUAUAAGAAUUAGAUAAUACAAAAUGACAACUCCGGCUGCACGGCGGUACGAACAUUAAAAUAUA